AAGUCGUAACAAGGUUUCCGUAGGUGAACCUGCGGAAGGAUCAUUAUCGAGUUCAUGCCCUCCGGGGUAGAUCUCCCACCCUGUCUACCUUACUCCUGUUGCUUUGGCGGGUCGACCACUCGGCCACCGGCGUCUAGCUGGUGUGCGCCCGCCAGAAGCCCCAUAAACCUAAUAGUGAACGUGUCGUCCGAGUACCAAAAAAAAAUAGUUAAAACUUUCAACAACGGAUCUCUUGGUUCUG
This 241-nucleotide unclassified non-coding RNA is filed under the name fungal sp. RNAcentral's name for it is "partial contains small subunit ribosomal RNA, internal transcribed spacer 1, and 5.8S ribosomal RNA". The stretch from base 1 to 46 matches the Rfam family "Eukaryotic small subunit ribosomal RNA", at positions 1786 to 1831 of the family's 1831-position model. Lineage: Eukaryota; Fungi. The record is from RNAcentral.